RNAcentral lists this long non-coding RNA (4183 nucleotides) under Taeniopygia guttata (zebra finch). RNAcentral describes it as "lncRNA (ENSTGUG00000024362.1)". Lineage: Eukaryota; Metazoa; Chordata; Aves; Passeriformes; Estrildidae. The record is from RNAcentral.
GGCGGGACGGCGGUGCCCGGUCCCUCGCAGUCCCCGAGGCUAUCUGGCGCCUCCCCCACGAUGCCCGCGGGGUCGCUGCUGUCACCCACCCACCGCCCCGGUCCCCUUUCUGCCCGCAAGAGACCUCUGCGGCGCUUCUGCCCCUAUUCCCGACUGCCACAAACACACCCACCCCCGCUGCCCUUUUCUUGCCCUUGCGACCCAGUUCCUGCUGAAUCCAGCUCCUGAGCAUCUGGGCCCCCAAGAGAUCCAUGUUUAUCCCGGCGGGCUCGCUCCCCGCUGGGCAGGUGCAUUGCGAGGGCUGCAGCUGCUGACCGAGCCCCAGCGAUGUGCCCCUUCAGCUCCGCCUGAGCCGCCGGCCUUUGUGGUUAUCCCUGGAGCGGGGGCUUGCGGUGCGCGCCGGAAAGCCUUCAGGAAAAAAGGAGACUAACAAAAAAUAUGAAACCAAGAUGCAAGCAGAUCCUCAAAGGAAACAUUCAAUAUAUGAAACUACUUUGAAUGACAUGUGGAUGCCUGGAACUGCAGAGCCAAACCCAAGCUUGUUCAAAACCUUGGAAUGUCCCAGCAGCAUCCCACUUCUUUGGACAGACAUCAGCUGCAGUCUAGUAUGUGAGGUAAGGUGAGGGAGGAAUAAUGAAGGAGAUGGCUGUGAUGAAAGGAUUAGUUAUCCUAAAUUAUUUUUCUUUUUUCAAAUUCAAUUUUAAACAUCACAGUAGGUGCCAAUAAAAAAUAUGCUCCUGGCAUAUCCUGGAAUUGUUAGGAGGAAUAGUUCACAGCAAACAAACAUGAGGAGUACAGUGAAAAAUUUAUAAAAAUAGAAAAAAUAUAAAAUCCAUCGCUUUCAACCAUACAUACCUCAUGAGAAUAAAGGUGUCCUGGGAGCACCCUGAUUACUGAUGUGAGUGUCUGCCUCACAAAGAAUCAGCUUACUUUUAGAAAUGGCGCAGCCAUUUAGAUGGCAGGGAUCAAAUGACCCAGUGUACAAAGAUGCACAACAGUGAGUACAAAAUGCUUCUGAUCUUUCCCUGGCCCAUUGUACACAGCUUCCUCUUAGGAGUGCUGUGACAAGUGAGCUGUUAUAUCCUGUUAUGUGACAGGGAAGUGACACAAGGCCAAUGAGACUGUCUCCAUCCAGCAGCUUGACCAACGGGUUUAUUUUCCAACUGAGAUGAGACUCUCCAACUCCCUGUCCCCAGCUUCUAGACACAGUUGGAUCACCAGUUAGGUUUACCAAGUGGACUUGGCAUCUGGUGUCCCAGAGUGGAAGAAGCUGAGAUGUAAAGGAUUAAGGUGUGAAAGUAGAGGUAAAAGUUGGAAAGCACCAGAAGAAAAUUAAGUCUAUGAACCACAGAGGUGAGAUGGAGUUUUACUGAGACCAUCUUUCCAAAAUGUAUGUAAAUUAACUGCAAAUAGAAAAGUUAACGCUAGAAUUAAAUCAUGAGAGUAGUGAUAGAGACAUGGAAAAUGGGGCCAAAAUGGCAGAAAGAGUUGUCUUAAUCCACCUUCCUGUGCCAAACCUGCAUAAAUGAGAGAGAUAUGAUUAUGGACUGGUGUCUGCUUUAUUAUUUUAAGGUAUUUAAUCUAAAGCAGAGAAUUUCACCAUUUCCCCAUGUAUUCUUGCCUAGUUUCUAUUGUCAAAAACUUUUUGCUAAUAUCUAAUAUAACUCUUCUAUUAUGUAAUUUUAGCACAUUCAUUUCUCUUGAUAUCCACAACAGAUACAGAGAACAGAUGACAACCUGUGAUUAUUUGAAAGCUUCUCUCAUCUCUCCAGUCAUUGAUUCAAUAAACUAAAACCCUAGCUUUCUUUCUUGCCUCAUUGGACAUGUUUUCUAAUUCUCUGGUCAUUUUCCUUUCUUUCUUUUGAACUGCCUCCACAUAUGAUGAAGUUCACUGCCCAGAAAUAGACAUGCAGCUCUCAAUAGCAAAGCUUCAUGUUUACUUUUACUGUAACAGUAUGACACUGUUGAUACAUAUCCCACUUGUGAGUCACUGCAACCUCAACAUCUUUUUCAGCAAAGUUGCUGCCUAGUCAGCUGUUUCCCAUUCUGUGUUAAUGCACUUGAUUUUUGCAAAUUAAGUGCAGACCUUACAUUCUUCUCUUUGAAGUAAGUUCAUCCUAGUUUUUUUGGCCAUCUGUCCCAUUUGUCAGGAUCACUUUGAUUGUUACUCCACCAGCUUUGUGACAUCUGCAAAUGUGCUAAACAUACUUUCUACUUCAUCAUCCAGGACUCUGAAGUAAAUACAAAACAUUACCAAACUCAGGACACGUCCCUGGAGAAUCUCAGGCAAGAGUUGUAGUAGUGAACCUUUGCUAACUAUUACCUUAUCACUGCUUUCCAAACAAUCUUCUCCAGCUUCUUAAAAGAAUGUCUAGCAAUGUUACAAACCUCUCUCUAUACCAAUGUUUUAAAGGGAGCUGAAGUUAAGAAUUUCCUUACAAUUCGUGAGUAUAUUGCUUUUGAUUGCUUAUUUCUUGUUUCUAUUAUGGAACAUUUAGUAUUUCCAUGAGAGACACAAAACCAUAUUUCAGAAUGGGCAGUGAAAGCUGGGUAUUUUGGAUACCAGUCAGGGAAAAGUUGGAUUUUCACUCAAAGAAAUUCCUUAGAUUUUGAGCAUCAGUAAGUAAUUUGUAUGUGAGUGUUAGCACACAUGACUGAUGGUACACAUCACUAUGAUUGAUCUUGAAAAUGACAAUUUUUUUAAAUGAAGUUUUAGAAUUCUGUAUUUAUUUGUUUCCUUUUUUUGAAGCUUAUUCUUGAUUUGCUUUAACAACAUAGCUUCAGCAUGUGAAUUCUCUAGCUUUUAUUCUUUUUGGCUAGAGCUGAUACAAUUUUGUUACAUUUUAGACUCAAAAACAAGGGAAAUCAUGCUUCUCCUCAAAGCACAAUGCACACGUCUUUAUGCAAAGUUGAAGAGCAAUCACUGUGAUAGGUUUCCAUCUUGCACAUUGUAUGCUAAGCCUCCUGUUGUCUCCAAUUAGACCUGUGUACCCGUGAAGCAUGAAGCACGAGUCCCUUCAGAUUUCAGUCAUGAACUCAGUCCUGCAAGGUUCCCUUGCCCUUGCGUUAUCGUAGGCCCUUCUGCCUGAGCUACAUGGGAGUUUCGAAGCUCCACCUGUACUUUCUGGGUCAGCACGCUCAUUUCUUUGCAAAAUGAAACCUGAUAUGAAAAGAGCACAAAAAAUACCACUUUCUGUGGGUCUUAAAUCUGCCUGAAAGCUGCAUGGAUGCCUGGGGCCAUCAGGGGACAUGCCUAGGCUCUCCUUUCUCAUAUACAAUUCAUAUUGUAUUCAGACGUGCCCCAGUGUGCAAUCAAAUCUCAUCCAAGUGCAUGCAAACUGGAAUAGGCAAGAGGCACUGGCUGCACUCUGAAUGCUUGCUGUGUCAAAAGGAACAGGAGUCCUUACUCCCAAUGGUAAUUAAGCCUUGCUGGGAAAUCAAGCGUAUGUCAUAUAGAAUAGGCUGCCUCUUCCGUUUUCUUUCACUCCCUCCCCCUCUCAACCCCAUUUUGGAUAGGAAGGAAUAAAAAAAUUGAAAAAGGGGGAGAUUUUAAAUAAUUCUUAACAACAGUUUUUCAGUUGUAGGAAAAUGUGUUGUUUGGAUAACAGCAUUACAAGAGGAAUUAUUAACUGACACUGGAAGGAAAUAACAGCAACCACAGCAAGACAGAACAAAAACCUGUCAGAAUAAAGAAAUCUUGGUCAACCCACAGAAAGGGCUAUUGGGAGGCUGUGUUGCAGAAAGAGAAUAGCAGGGCCUUUAUGUAAUGUAGAUGCUCAGGGAGGCGAGGCAGCAAGGAGAAAUAGAGAUUAUUUGCUCAUUCAGUUUUAGCUGGAAUGGGAGAUGGCUGUCUUUCCUAUCAUGCAUCAAACCAAGCUCCAGAACUCCACAACAAAAACAGUUCAAUACAGACUGUCUGCAGCUAUGUCUUUUUAUUCUCCUUUUUCAACCAGUGAUGCAUGGGAAACCACAUCUCACACAUGCUCCCCCAGCUGAAAAAAAAAAAGUCAGUUUAGAAACAACUGUCAUUACAUAGCAUAUUUUCCUCAUUAUAAGGCACUCAAAGAACAAGAAGAAGCCAUCUGCUGUAACUUGGCUGUCCUUUCUGUUUUACGUUAAUCCACAUUUCUAGCUUUUUCAUUCUCAUUCCCAAUUAAAUCUUUCUCAAAAAAAAAAAAAAAAA